GAUUCCCCCAGUAACUGCGAGUGAAAAGGGAAGAGCCCAGCGCCGAAGCCGCCGUCCGGCAACACGGGCGGAGGGCAAUGUGGCGUUAAGGAAGAGCCUCCUUGACCAGACGUUUCGUUGAUCGAUCCGCGGAAGCCCGAGUCCCCCUGACCGGGGCCACGGCCCAUGGCGGGUGCAAGGCCUCUUCGGCUUCGUUCGACGGUUCGGAGGUUGCUGGCUUCCUUCCUCAGAGUCGGGUUGCUUGAAAGUGCAGCUCUAAGCGGGUGGUAAACUCCACCUAAGGCUAAAUAUGACCAUGAGACCGAUAGCGAACAAGUACCGUGAGGGAAAGUUGCAAAGAACUUUGAAGAGAGAGUUCAAGAGUACGUGAAACCGCUCGGAGGCAAACGGGUGGGCCCUCGAAGGUCGAACGGGGGGAUUCAGCCUGUCGGCGUCACCGUCGCUCUCGCUGUUCCAGUCGAAAAAGCGGAGGCUCGUCCUCCGCGAAACGGAUCCCCGUCUGUGGGACCGGGCUGGCCGAGAAAGCGCGGGCCGGCUCGUGCACUUCCCCCUCAGUAGGACGCCGCGACCGGUCGGGUAGAAAUCAAGAGUUGCGGCCAUGAGGCGAGAUAAAUUGGGCAGGUGUCCGUUUCCGUGAGUAGCCCCUUCGUAGCCGGUCCGCGUGCGUUCGCGCUCGCGGAUGGUCGGACGGAGGGGCCGCGGUCGGAGUUACAGCCUAUUCUCGACCCGUGCACCGCCACCCGACCGACAAAUGGUCACGAAUCCGUUGACGCGUGCCCGCGUUUUUUCCUUUCCUCUCGGGGUUUGGAAAAAGGCGCUCGCCCUCGUCCCGGGCAGGCAGGAUGCGCGAGUAAAAAGUUCCUCUUUUCCCGGCAACGGGAAGGGAAUCCGACGGACGCCGGUACAAAAAACCACAAAGGCGGCCGUCGGCUCCGCGUCUGCCGCUGGCCCACGGGGAAUUGCGUUCUGGCGUGGAGGCAUCGCUCGCGGUCGGCGGCGAGUAGUCNNNNNNNNNNNNNNNNNNNNNNNNNNNNNNNNNNNNNNNNNNNNNNNNNNNNNNNNNNNNNNNNNNNNNNNNNNNNNNNNAGCUAAACCCGAAGGCGAAAUGAAAGUGAAGGCCGGCCUCCUUUUUUCUUUUCCUUUCCUCGGAUCGGAUUUGAUGGGGGGGCACGAACGGCCGAGGCGAGAUCCUCGAAGGAAGUGGGGAGGUAACACUCUCUAACCCUUCGUAAAAAACCGGGUGGCGAAGCCGUGCGGCGCGCCGUCAAAAAGCGCGUUGCAGCCCGGAGGCGCAUCGCCGGCCCGUCUCGACCGCUGCUCCGUGUUUGCGCAAGGUUGGGUGUCUGGGCUUGCGGGGGGAGAGGAGAGGUUUGGGGCGCGAAAUCCGGCAACGGACGUAGCGUUUCCUUAUCCUUUUUCUCUCGUAACCUGCUUGCCGGCCCUCCUUCCCGCGGAGAAACCAGUCGGUGAGGCGGAGCAAGAGCGCACACGUUGGGACCCGAAAGAUGGUGAACUAUGCCCGGGCAGGACGAAGCCAGAGGAAACUCUGGUGGAGGUCCGCAGCGAUUCUGACGUGCAAAUCGAUCGUCGGACCUGGGUAUAGGGGCGAAAGACUAAUCGAACCGUCUAGUAGCUGGUUCCCUCCGAAGUUUCCCUCAGGAUAGCUGGCGCUCGGGAAAACCUUCUGUUGAGAGAGAAACAGUCUCAUCCGGUAAAGCGAAUGAUUAGAGGCAUUGGGGCCGAAACGGCCUCAACCUAUUCUCAAACUUUCAAUGGGUGAGAUGUCCGGCUUGCUCGAAAACACGAAUGGUGUCCGACUCUUUCGGGGGUUGGGCAUCGUUUUUGAAGCACGGACAUAGGAUGCGAGUGCCCAGUGGGCCACUUUUGGUAAGCAGAACUGGCGCUGUGGGAUGAACCAAAAGCCGGGUUACGGCGCCCGAUGCGGACGCUCAUCAGACCCCAUGAAAGGUGUUGGUUGCUAUUGACAGCAGGACGGUGGCCAUGGAAGUCGGAAUCCGCUAAGGAGUGUGUAACAACUCACCUGCCGAAGCAACUAGCCCUGAAAAUGGAUGGCGCUCCAGCGUCGAGCCUAACCCCGGCCGCCGGAAGGCAGAAAACCGAUCGCCAACGCGGGACUCGUUCCGUCGUUUGGUCGAGAAAGUCGAUGCCCCGGCGAGUAGGAGGGUCGCGGUGGCGAGCGUUGAAGGGAACGGGCGCGAGCCUGCCUGGAGCCGCCACCGGUGCAGAUCUUGGUGGUAGUAGCAAAUACUCGAGUGAGAACCUUGAGGACUGAAGUGGAGAAGGGUUCCAUGUGAACAGCAGUUGAACAUGGGUCAGUCGGCCCUAAGGAAUAGGGGAAACCCGUUCCGAACGGAACCGGAAUACAUGAUCGAUAAAGAUAAUCAGUCAAUGACCGGUGACGACCGAAAGGGAAUCGGGUUAAUAUUCCCGAACCCGGAUGCGGAGAUCGACCCUCGCGGGUCUGAAGCGGUAACGCGUAACGAACUCGGAGAUUGCCGGCGGGGGCCCCGGGAAGAGUUUUCUUUUCUUUGUAAAGGACGGACUCCCUGGAAUCGGCUCGCCCGGAGAGAGGGAUGUUGUUCCUGUAAAGCACCGCGGCUCUUGCGGUGUCCGGAGCGCUCUCGCCGGCCCUUGAAAAUCCGAGGGAGUGAACCAAAGAUUUCCGCACCGGACCGUACCCAUAUCCGCAGCA
RNAcentral lists this ribosomal RNA (2713 nucleotides) under Pleurogeophilus mediterraneus. RNAcentral's name for it is "partial 28S ribosomal RNA". It matches the Rfam family "Eukaryotic large subunit ribosomal RNA", at positions 73 to 1861 of the family's 3401-position model. Lineage: Eukaryota; Metazoa; Arthropoda; Chilopoda; Geophilomorpha; Geophilidae. The record is from RNAcentral.